RNAcentral lists this non-coding RNA (24 nucleotides) under Cricetulus griseus (Chinese hamster). The record is from RNAcentral. Lineage: Eukaryota; Metazoa; Chordata; Mammalia; Rodentia; Cricetidae.
AAUAUUCUGCUGGGAGAAAGUAGA